GUGCCAGCCGCCGCGGUAAUACAGAGGGUGCGAGCGUUGUUCGGAAUUACUGGGCGUAAAGCGCGCGCAGGCGGCCUUUUAAGUCUGACGGUGAAAUGCCGGGGCUCAACCCCGUGCCCGCCGCGGAUACUGGGAGGCUGGAGACACGUAGAGGCAAGCGGAAUUCCGGGUGUAGCGGUGGAAUGCGUAGAGAUCCGGAAGAACACCGGAGGCGAAGGCGGCUUGCUGGGCGUAGUCUGACGCUGAGGCGCGAAAGCGUGGGGAGCGAACAGGAUUAGAUACCCCCGUAGUCC
Molecule: ribosomal RNA, 293 nt
Filed under: uncultured bacterium
Lineage: Bacteria
Description: partial 16S ribosomal RNA
Rfam family: Bacterial small subunit ribosomal RNA
Source: RNAcentral